AAAACGACGGGGAGACGCCGAUAACAAAUGUAACUUCACUUUAGGAAGCUGAUGAAGAAACCGCGGCAAAAAUACAAGAUUUGGCGCUUGCCAAAGCGCUCUACCAAAACACUUACGCAUGGCCAUGAUUACGCAAAGCACUGAUAGACGUUCGCUACUGAACAGGCAAUUGAGUGGACAUCUAGUGGCUCU
This is a long non-coding RNA of Dendronephthya gigantea, 192 nucleotides long. RefSeq lists it as uncharacterized. The record is from RefSeq and is a predicted model, not a curated record. NCBI's taxonomy places the organism in Eukaryota, Metazoa, Cnidaria, Anthozoa, Malacalcyonacea, Nephtheidae. The transcript has 3 exons.